Non-coding RNA from Ornithorhynchus anatinus (platypus), 138 nucleotides. Lineage: Eukaryota; Metazoa; Chordata; Mammalia; Monotremata; Ornithorhynchidae. The record is from Rfam.
CCCUUCUCAGGAUGGCACCUGGAGAGUUUCCAGUUUUCUACCAGUCUUGGCUACGGGAGGGAGAGUCAAGCAGAGGCAUACUCAUUCCAUUCCUAGAUUGGGCAGUGGCUAGCAAGUGGAAGGCAAUCUGCUAUAAGU